Non-coding RNA from Myotis brandtii (Brandt's bat), 75 nucleotides. NCBI's taxonomy places the organism in Eukaryota, Metazoa, Chordata, Mammalia, Chiroptera, Vespertilionidae. The record is from Rfam.
GGCAGUUCUUGGGUGACGCACCCCGGAAUUGGGCUCCCUCCUCUCUGGUUCUGGGUGCAUCACCCAAGAACUGCA